This 326-nucleotide RNase P RNA is filed under the name unidentified bacterium Rr327. Its description in RNAcentral is "partial RNAase P". It matches the Rfam family "Bacterial RNase P class A", at positions 43 to 351 of the family's 367-position model. From Rfam's summary of the family: Ribonuclease P (RNase P) is a ubiquitous endoribonuclease, found in archaea, bacteria and eukarya as well as chloroplasts and mitochondria. The record is from RNAcentral.
GAGGAAAGUCCGGGCUCCACAGGGCAGGGUGCCAGCUAACGGCUGGGCGGGGUAACCCGACGGAAUAGUGCAACAGAGAGCAGACCGCCGCUUCGCUGCUCCGGCAGCGGGCGGUAAGGGUGAAACGGUGGGGUAAGAGCCCACCAGUGCCCCUGGAGACAGGGGGAGCUAGGUAAACCCCACCCGGUGCAAGGCCUACGUGAGGGCAUGCCCUCGCGCACCCCAGGGAGAGCUUGCCCGGCUCGCUUACCUGGAGGGAUUGGCCGCUCGAGGUCGCUGGCGACAGCGAUCCCAGAUAGAUGACCGUGGAAACAGAAUCCGGCUUA